AUUGAACGCUAGCGGCAGGCCUAACACAUGCAAGUCGAACGAGUGGCGGACGGGUGAGUGAUAUCUGGGAAACUGCCUGAUGGAGGGGGAUAACUACUGGAAACGGUAGCUAAUACCGCAUACCAUCAGAUGGGCCCAGAUGGGAUUAGCUAGUUUGUUGGGUAACGGCUCACCAAGGCGACGAUCCCUAGCUGGUCUGAGAGGAUGACCAGCCACACUGGAACGGAUAAACGGUCCAGACCACGACGGGAGGCAGCAGUGGGGAAUAGUGCACAAUGGGCGCAAGCCUGAUGCAGCCAUGCCGCGUGUAUGAAGAAGGCCUUCGGGUUGUAAAGUACUUUCAGCGGGGAGGCGUUACCCGCAGAAGAAGCACCGGCUAACUCCGUGCCAGCAGCCGCGGUAAUAC
This 406-nucleotide ribosomal RNA is filed under the name uncultured bacterium. RNAcentral's name for it is "partial 16S ribosomal RNA". It matches the Rfam family "Bacterial small subunit ribosomal RNA", at positions 30 to 526 of the family's 1533-position model. The record is from RNAcentral.